UGGUGGAGUGAUUUGUCUGGUUAAUUCCGAUAACGAACGAGACCUUAACCUGCUAACUAGCCCGGCCGACUUUGGUUAGCUGCUGGCUUCUUAGAGGGACUAUUGGCGUCUAGCUAAUGGAAGUUUGAGGCAAUAACA
RNAcentral lists this ribosomal RNA (138 nucleotides) under uncultured eukaryote. Its description in RNAcentral is "partial 18S ribosomal RNA". It matches the Rfam family "Eukaryotic small subunit ribosomal RNA", at positions 1299 to 1458 of the family's 1831-position model. The record is from RNAcentral.